Terfezia claveryi is the source of this 126-nucleotide non-coding RNA. The record is from the annotation of a GenBank genome assembly. Lineage: Eukaryota; Fungi; Ascomycota; Pezizomycetes; Pezizales; Pezizaceae.
GCCGGUGUGGUGCAAUUGGUAGCACGCCGACCUCUCGUAAUGCCCCCAUACGGAGUUGAGAGGAGACCUGCGGGCCCACACGCCACAAAGGUCAUGGAGAUCGAGGUUCAAAUCCUCGCACCAGCA